RNAcentral lists this unclassified non-coding RNA (213 nucleotides) under Hevea brasiliensis (rubber tree). Lineage: Eukaryota; Viridiplantae; Streptophyta; Magnoliopsida; Malpighiales; Euphorbiaceae. The record is from RNAcentral.
GCCCAGCCAUUUAGAGUCACUUUCAUAGAUCUCCUCAAUCGAUUCGGGAAUAUCUGCUUGAAACUGUGGCCCAACAGGUAUUCUCUUUCUGCGCUGCUUCCACCAAAAACCAAUUGCCGACUCUGCAGAAGAACCAGUUGGUACAUCGGCCUGAUCCUCGUCAUUAUGAGAACUUGAAGGUGAUGCAAGAAACUGCAUUGCACGCCUCUUUUU